GACGAACGCUGGCGGCGUGCUUAAUACAUGCAAGUCGAACGCUUCAUUGCUAGCUUGCUCUUGCGGUCUAUUGGCGAAAGGGUUAGUAACACGUUGGUAACCUCCUCCCUAACCUGGGAUACACCUGGGAAACAGGGUCGAAUACAGGUUAUGAUCACUCACUGCAUUUUGUGCCGGAGGAAAUAAUAUUUGGUGGGGCAUUGACUCGCGGCGCAUCAGCUUGUUGGCGGGGUAAUGGCUUACCAGGGCGAUGACGGAUAGCCGACGUGAGAGUGCGAUCGGCCACACGGGGACGGAGACACGGCCAAGACUCCUACGGGAGGCAGCAGUAGGGAAUCUGCGGCAAUGGAGGAAAGUCUGACCGAGCAACGCCGCGUGAGUGAAGAAGGUGUUCGGAGCGGAAAACUCGGUUGUUAGAGAAGAACAAGGACGUUAGUAACUGAACGUCCCCUGACGGUAUCUAACCAGAAAGACACGGCUAACUACGUG
Molecule: ribosomal RNA, 489 nt
Filed under: uncultured bacterium
Lineage: Bacteria
Description: partial 16S ribosomal RNA
Rfam family: Bacterial small subunit ribosomal RNA
Source: RNAcentral